AUUGAACGCUGGCGGCAUGCUUUACACAUGCAAGUCGAACGGCAGCGCGGGCUUCGGCCUGGCGGCGAGUGGCGAACGGGUGAGUAAUACAUCGGAACGUGCCCAGUAGUGGGGGACAGCUCGGCGAAAGCCGGAUUAAUACCGCAUACGACCUGAGGGUGAAAGCGGGGGAUCUUCGGACCUCGCGCUAUUGGAGCGGCCGAUGGCAGAUUAGCUAGUUGGUGGGGUAAAGGCCUACCAAGGCGACGAUCUGUAGCUGGUCUGAGAGGACGACCAGCCACACUGGGACUGAGACACGGCCCAGACUCCUACGGGAGGCAGCAGUGGGGAAUUUUGGACAAUGGGCGAAAGCCUGAUCCAGCAAUGCCGCGUGUGUGAUGAAGGCCUUCGGGUUGUAAAGCACUUUUGGCGGGAACGAAAAGGACUGUGCCAAUACCACGGUUCGAUGACGGUACCCGCAGAAUAAGCACCGGCUAACUACGU
This 483-nucleotide ribosomal RNA is filed under the name uncultured bacterium. Its description in RNAcentral is "partial 16S ribosomal RNA". It matches the Rfam family "Bacterial small subunit ribosomal RNA", at positions 29 to 506 of the family's 1533-position model. The record is from RNAcentral.